UAAGGAAUAUUGGUCAAUGGACGCAAGUCUGAACCAGCCAUGCCGCGUGGAGGAUUAAGGCCCUCUGGGUUGUAAACUCCUUUUAUCUGGGAAGAAAUGUACUUUUUCUUGAGUACUUGACGGUACCAGAGGAAUAAGCACCGGCUACCUCCGUGCCAGCAGCCGCGGUAAUACGGAGGGUGCAAGCGUUAUCCGGAUUCACUGGGUUUAAAGGGUGCGUAGGUGGGCAGGUAAGUCAGUGGUGAAAUCUCCGGGCUUAACCCGGAAACUGCCGUUGNUACUAUGUGGCAUGAAUAUUGUGGAGGGAAGCGGAAUAUGUCAUGUAGCGGUGAAAUGCUUAGAUAUGACAUAGAACACCGAUUGCGAAGGCAGCUCACUACGGGAUCAUUGACGCUGAGGCACGAAAGCG
RNAcentral lists this ribosomal RNA (409 nucleotides) under uncultured bacterium. RNAcentral describes it as "bacterial SSU rRNA". It matches the Rfam family "Bacterial small subunit ribosomal RNA", at positions 355 to 761 of the family's 1533-position model. The record is from RNAcentral.